This 439-nucleotide ribosomal RNA is filed under the name uncultured bacterium. Its description in RNAcentral is "partial 16S ribosomal RNA". It matches the Rfam family "Bacterial small subunit ribosomal RNA", at positions 338 to 795 of the family's 1533-position model. The record is from RNAcentral.
CCUACGGGUGGCAGCAGUGGGGGAUAUUGCACAAUGGAGGCAACUCUGCUGCAGCGACGCCGCGUGAGGGAAGACGGUCUUCGGAUUGUAAACCUCUGUCUUUGGGGAAGAAAAUGACGGUACCCAAAGAGGAAGCUCCGGCUAACUACGUGCCAGCAGCCGCGGUAUUACGUAGGGAGCGCGCUUUGUCCUGAAUUACUGGUGGUAACGGGAGCGUAGGCGGUCGGGAAAGUUGAAUGUUAAAUCUACCGGCUUAACUGGUAGCUGCGUUCAAAACUUCUUGUCUUGAGUGUAGUAGAGGCAGGCGGAAUGCCUAGUGUAGCGGUGAAAUGCGUAGAGAUUAGGAGGAACACCAGUGGCGAAGGUGGCCUGCUGGGCUUUAACUGACGCUGAGGCUCGAAAGCGUGGGGAGCAAACAGGAUUAGAUACCCGUGUAGUC